This 253-nucleotide ribosomal RNA is filed under the name uncultured bacterium. Its description in RNAcentral is "partial 16S ribosomal RNA". It matches the Rfam family "Bacterial small subunit ribosomal RNA", at positions 524 to 776 of the family's 1533-position model. The record is from RNAcentral.
UACGGGGGGGGUAAGCGUUGUUCGGAAUUACUGGGCGUAAAGCGCGUGUAGGCGGCCCACUAAGUCUGAUGUGAAAGCCCGGGGCUCACCCCCGGAAGUGCAUUGGAAACUGGUGGACUCGAGUCCCGGAGAGGAGAGUGGAAUUCCUGGUGUAGCGGUGAAAUGCGUAGAUAUCAGGAGGAACACCGGUGGCGAAGGCGGCUCUCUGGACGGUGACUGACGCUGAGACGCGAAAGCGUGGGGAGCAAACAGG